RNAcentral lists this ribosomal RNA (465 nucleotides) under uncultured Desulfobulbus sp. Its description in RNAcentral is "bacterial SSU rRNA". It matches the Rfam family "Bacterial small subunit ribosomal RNA", at positions 923 to 1382 of the family's 1533-position model. The record is from RNAcentral. Lineage: Bacteria; Pseudomonadati; Thermodesulfobacteriota; Desulfobulbia; Desulfobulbales; Desulfobulbaceae.
GCACAAGCGGUGGAGUAUGUGGUUUAAUUCGAUGCAACGCGAAGAACCUUACCUGGUCUUGACAUCCCGGAGACCCUUAGGAAACUAGGGGGUGCUUCCAUCUGGAAGAAUCUGGAGACAGGUGCUGCAUGGCUGUCGUCAGCUCGUGUCGUGAGAUGUUGGGUUAAGUCCCGCAACGAGCGCAACCCUUGCCUUUAGUUGCCAGCAGUUCGGCUGGGCACUCUAAAGGGACUGCCGGUGUUAAACCGGAGGAAGGUGGGGAUGACGUCAAGUCCUCAUGGCCCUUAUGACCAGGGCUACACACGUACUACAAUGGCCGAUACAAAGGGCAGCGACACUGCGAGGUGAAGCCAAUCCCGUAAAAUCGGUCUCAGUCCGGAUUGGAGUCUGCAACUCGACUCCAUGAAGUUGGAAUCGCUAGUAAUCGUGGAUCAGCAUGCCACGGUGAAUACGUUCCCGGGCCUU